GGAGAGGUGGCCGAGUGGUCGAAGGCGCGCCCCUGCUAAGGGCGUAGGCGGGUAACUGUCUCGAGGGUUCGAAUCCCUUCCUCUCCGCCA
RNAcentral lists this transfer RNA (90 nucleotides) under Pelagibacterium luteolum. RNAcentral describes it as "tRNA_Ser_GCT". It matches the Rfam family "tRNA". From Rfam's summary of the family: Transfer RNA (tRNA) molecules are approximately 80 nucleotides in length. RNAcentral also lists the same sequence under 19 other names. The record is from RNAcentral. Lineage: Bacteria; Pseudomonadati; Pseudomonadota; Alphaproteobacteria; Hyphomicrobiales; Devosiaceae.